This 498-nucleotide ribosomal RNA is filed under the name uncultured bacterium. Its description in RNAcentral is "bacterial SSU rRNA". It matches the Rfam family "Bacterial small subunit ribosomal RNA", at positions 899 to 1397 of the family's 1533-position model. The record is from RNAcentral.
ACUCAAAGGAAUAGACGGGGGCCCGCACAAGCAGCGGAGCAUGUGGUUUAAUUCGAAGCAACGCGAAGAACCUUACCAGGUCUUGACAUCCAGUUAAAGCUAUAGAGAUAUAGUGUGUGCUUGCACAAACUGAGACAGGUGGUGCAUGGUUGUCGUCAGCUCGUGUCGUGAGAUGUUGGGUUAAGUCCCGCAACGAGCGCAACCCUUGCCUUUAGUUACUAACGGGUAAAGCCGAGGACUCUAGAGGGACUGCCGGGGACAACUCGGAGGAAGGUGGGGAUGAUGUCAAAUCAUCAUGCCCCUUAUGACCUGGGCUACACACGUGCUACAAUGGCCACAACAAAGAGGAACGAACCCGUAAGGGGGAGUGGAUCUCAGAAAAGUGGUCUCAGUUCGGAUUGUGGGCUGCAACCCGCCCACAUGAAGUCGGAGUUGCUAGUAAUCGCGGAUCAGCAUGCCGCGGUGAAUACGUUCCCGGGCCUUGUACACACCGCCCGU